RNAcentral lists this unclassified non-coding RNA (354 nucleotides) under soil metagenome. RNAcentral's name for it is "partial contains 5.8S ribosomal RNA, internal transcribed spacer 2, and large subunit ribosomal RNA". The stretch from base 1 to 119 matches the Rfam family "5.8S ribosomal RNA", at positions 35 to 154 of the family's 154-position model. The record is from RNAcentral.
GAUGAAGAACGUAGCGAAAUGCGUUAAGUAAUGCGAAUUGCAGAAUCCGUGAGUCAUCGAAUCUUUGAACGCACAUUGCGCCCUUUGGUAUUCCGAAGGGCAUGCCUGUUCGAGCGUCAUUAUCACCACUCAAGCCCGGCUUGCUGUUGGUGGCAGCGCAGCCGGUCAACCGGCUACGCUCCACCCAAAGAUAAUGACGGCGUCUGCGAGGACUCCUGUACAUUGAGCUUUCGGGCACGUACAUGGCUAGAAGUCCAGGCGCCGGUCGACGUCCUCCGGGACACUUUUUACCAAGGUUGACCUCGGAUCAGGUAGGGAUACCCGCUGAACUUAAGCAUAUCAAUAAGCGGAGGA